UGGGUACACACAUGUGGUUAGCCCAAAGAUGAUGCCUAGUGUCUUCCUCAAUCUCCCAAACACUCCCCACCAUAUAUAUCGAGGCAGGGUCUCACUUGAACCUAGAGCUAUCCCAUUUGGCCAGUCUAGCUAUCCUGCUCACUCGGGGGAAAUCUCCUGUCUCUCUUUUCAGUCACUGGGGUUACAAAGUGGGUCUCCACGCCCGUCACGUUUAUGUAGAUGCAACUCUAAUCCUCAUGGGAGCAUGGCAAAUGCUCUACCCGAUGAACCCUCUAUCCAACUUCACCAUGUCAAUUUUAGCAUGUUUAUUUACAUGCAGUUCACAUGCUAUCUAAGUAUGUGUGGUGACUAACGCAGUUCCCAUACUGUCUAAGCAUGUAGGGUGGUUGAUUUUCACUGUCGGUUUGACUAGGUUUAGAAUCGCCAUGGCAACUACAUCUCUGGAUAAGUCUAUGGUGGUUGU
RNAcentral lists this long non-coding RNA (463 nucleotides) under Rattus norvegicus (Norway rat). RNAcentral's name for it is "long non-coding RNA NONRATT014420". The record is from RNAcentral. Lineage: Eukaryota; Metazoa; Chordata; Mammalia; Rodentia; Muridae.